RNAcentral lists this small nuclear RNA (94 nucleotides) under Castor canadensis (American beaver). The record is from RNAcentral. Lineage: Eukaryota; Metazoa; Chordata; Mammalia; Rodentia; Castoridae.
GUGCUCGCUUUGGCAGCACAUAUACUAAAAUUGGAACGAUACAGAGAAGAUUAGCAAGGAUGACACGCAAAUUCGUGAAGAGUUCCAUAUUAAA